CCAAUAGCGUAUAUUAAAGUUGUUGCAGUUAAAAAGCUCGUAGUUGAAUUUCGGGAUUGGCGCAUCGGUCGUGCCUCACGGGGUAUGAACUGGUGCAGUCAAUUUCUCACCUUCUGGAGAACCGCGAUGUCCUUAAUUGGAUGCCGCGGGGAACCAGGACCUUUACUUUGAAAAAAUUAGAGUGUUUAAAGCAGGCAUUUUUGCUUGAAUACAUUAGCAUGGAAUAAUAAAAUAGGACGGCAUGGUUUUAUUUUGUUGGUUUCUAGGACCACCGUAAUGAUUAAUAGGGUUAGUUGGGGGCAUUAGUAUUCAAUUGUCAGAGGUGAAAUUCUUGGAUUUAUUGAAGACUAACUACUGCGAAAGCAUUUGCCAAGGAUGUUUUCAUUAAUCAAGAACGAAAGUUAGGGGAUCGAAGACGAUCAGAUACCGUCGUAGUCUUAACCAUAAACUAUGCCGACUAGGAAUCAGACGAUGUUAAUUUUUUAAUGACUCGUUUGGCACCUUACG
This 507-nucleotide ribosomal RNA is filed under the name uncultured Glomeromycotina. RNAcentral's name for it is "partial small subunit ribosomal RNA". It matches the Rfam family "Eukaryotic small subunit ribosomal RNA", at positions 591 to 1092 of the family's 1831-position model. Lineage: Eukaryota; Fungi; Glomeromycota. The record is from RNAcentral.